This 268-nucleotide unclassified non-coding RNA is filed under the name Hevea brasiliensis (rubber tree). The record is from RNAcentral. Lineage: Eukaryota; Viridiplantae; Streptophyta; Magnoliopsida; Malpighiales; Euphorbiaceae.
GUUGAACUUGGACAAGAUCCACAUGCUCCUUGCAGCUUAAGAAUUACAACGAGGCCAUCAAUCUCAUGUAGUACCACAUUUCCUCCAUCAGCCAUUAGGCCUGGCCUGACUUGCUCUAGAACCUUCUCGACGUUUUCCUCAGUAAGUGGAAGGACACAACUUGGUGAUACCACAGCACCUGCAUUUUUUCUUCUUUGUCCAGUUCUACCGACCCCAAGGAAGUGUCUAACAUGAUAUUGACCUCUUAGAAAAGAACUUUGCUUUGAAG